GAAAUGCAGCCGGUUCUAUCUAGCUCGGGCAAACCAGUAGCGCCUGCAGUGGAAGGCUCCGCCCACCUGCCCGGACGUCAUCAUGUCCUGUUUUUGAUGCUCGGCACAUGCGCAGGAGGUCCUGCACAUGCACAUACUCAGAAGUGUCACACGCGAGCGAAGCAAGCAUGUGCACACACAUGCUCCCAUUUGCAAACAGGUAGUGAAGCUUUAACGUAUGGCACGACAAGGAAAAAGAUGCCCCAAUUCAGUGGUGAAAUCUGAACUGGUUUACUACCAGUUCGCUGGCUGCGCUGCAUAUAUGCAUGUAAAAUGCGCGCCCGCAGUGCACGCCAAAAGGAAGCAUGGGAUCAGGGGGUCUCCAACUUUAGUAGCUUUAGGUUUGUGGACUUCAAAUCCCAGAGUUCCUCAUUCAGCAAAGCAGGAAGUCAAAGCAGGCUGUAAUCAGUAGCUGAAGUAAGCAUUGCGUUGCCAGCCCGAAAGGAGCAGUAUGCAGUAAUUAUAGGAAAAUUAUACAGCAGCAUCAGCAGCAGCGUUCCUAGUGCUGGGCCAAUGAGGGAUAGUGGGCGACCAAGUUUGCUUCUUCAACUUGAUGUGUGCUCCUGCAUGGCAUCGCUUUUGUGUGGGCACAGCUCAACUUAAAAGCUUCUUUCAAGCAGCAUGAAUGCCCUUCUUUUUCAACUCCCCCCCCCAACACCAACCCUUUUUUGUAUUGAUAGCUGGGGGAGCGGGGGAAGGGAAGGUUGUUUAAAAAGGAAGGGUAGACAAUCAGAACAAAAUGAAGAGCUUUCACUUCCAUUAUGAGCAUGUCGUGCUAUUCUUCUCAGCUGUUUAUACAUUCCCAGCACAAUAAUGCUUCUUUGCAAUCAUAUGUUUCCCCUUUUACACUAUUCAUAUUGGGGUGGAGGAAGGGGAGGAAGAGAAAGGGAGAGAAAGCCCUCACAUCGUGACCGUGGUAAUAAAAUCCCAUAGAAAUGUGGGUAUAAUGUCAAUUUGCAUUCUGUGAGAAGAUCAAGGUAAACCUAAAGGCCAAAGAGAAUAUUCUGCUAAUGCUCAUUCAUCAUUCUGCAGGCCCAGGUAAAAAGAAGGACCUUGUCACUACUCCGCAAACCCUUUUCAAUUGCCAGCACAUUUGUGUGAAUAUUUUAGCCUAAUGCACCGAUUGUUAAACAGAAAAGGACGGGCUUUGAAAUGGGCUACUGCGCUCAAAUCCCUAGCUGCACAAGGCACGGGCAAGAACGGGCCCUAUUCAGAGGGGAGAACUAAAGGAGGCUUUAGUUCAGUAAGCACAGUGUGCAUGAAGGUUACCGAGGAUAUUGUGUCUCGGUAAAUGAAGGUUUCCCAAGGAAAGGGGAAAAAAGGUCUGAUAUGCUGUCUCUGCACACGCCCCAACAGAAGUAUAACUGCACGGCAACGUUUUGAUAUUUGUUUGUUUGUUUUUUAAUCGUGAUUUAUGAAAGUUUGUGGCUUUAACGGAUGUGGAGAUUCGAAGCAGGCCCAAACUAUUUAAUUGGCCAACUGAAAUCCAGUCCCCAGUUUGCCCCUAUAGAAAAACAGCAAGACUGAAAUGUGUUUGAAUAUUAGUAGUUCGGGUUGGUAGUUAAUUCUGUUGGUUUGAGCUCCGAACUUGGCACUUUGGUUGCAAACGUUUCGUCACCAUUCGAGCACACAUCGUCAGG
This is a long non-coding RNA of Ahaetulla prasina, 1679 nucleotides long. RefSeq lists it as uncharacterized. The transcript is spliced from 4 exons. NCBI's taxonomy places the organism in Eukaryota, Metazoa, Chordata, Lepidosauria, Squamata, Colubridae. The record is from RefSeq and is a predicted model, not a curated record.